AAGCAAACUUCCCGAGACGUCCCCAGAAAGCGCGGAGUCGACUCUCUCAGGGGAUUCUAGAGAAAUUGUUUUUCGGUGAUAAAACUGCGGAGUCGUCCCCGACGUCGCGGAGUCGUCCCCAUGCAAAAAGCGCAAACAUCCCGAGACGUCCCCGUAAAGUACCGAGCCGACUCUCUCAGAAAAACAGAAAAACAAGCAUUCAAGCUGCUCUUCUUCAGAGACGUCCCC
Molecule: long non-coding RNA, 228 nt
Filed under: Phoenix dactylifera (date palm)
Lineage: Eukaryota; Viridiplantae; Streptophyta; Magnoliopsida; Arecales; Arecaceae
Description: long non-coding RNA (PDAC_LNC021884)
Source: RNAcentral